Molecule: ribosomal RNA, 253 nt
Filed under: uncultured bacterium
Lineage: Bacteria
Description: partial 16S ribosomal RNA
Rfam family: Bacterial small subunit ribosomal RNA
Source: RNAcentral
UACGAAGGGGGCUAGCGUUGCUCGGAAUCACUGGGCGUAAAGCGCACGUAGGCGGCUUUUUAAGUCAGGGGUGAAAUCCUGGAGCUCAACUCCAGAACUGCCUUUGAUACUGGGAAGCUUGAGUCCGGAAGAGGUGAGUGGAACUCCGAGUGUAGAGGUGAAAUUCGUAGAUAUUCGGAGGAACACCAGUGGCGAAGGCGGCUCACUGGUCCGGUACUGACGCUGAGGUGCGAAAGCGUGGGGAGCAAACAGG